CGCCAUCCGGCAAUCGGGUCGGAUGAAGGACCAAUCGGGGUCAACAGA
RNAcentral lists this non-coding RNA (48 nucleotides) under unclassified sequences. RNAcentral's name for it is "gut-2 RNA". It matches the Rfam family "gut-2 RNA". Rfam says of the family: gut metagenomes. Environment (Cow rumen (57)) The record is from Rfam by way of RNAcentral.